GGGGGCAUAGCUCAGUUGGUAGAGCGCCAGCUUUGCAAGCUGGAAGUCACGGGUUCGAAUCCCGUUGCCUCCACCA
RNAcentral lists this transfer RNA (76 nucleotides) under Verrucomicrobia bacterium ADurb.Bin018. RNAcentral describes it as "tRNA-Ala". It matches the Rfam family "tRNA". From Rfam's summary of the family: Transfer RNA (tRNA) molecules are approximately 80 nucleotides in length. Their secondary structure includes four short double-helical elements and three loops (D, anti-codon, and T loops). Lineage: Bacteria; Pseudomonadati; Verrucomicrobiota. RNAcentral also lists the same sequence under 4 other names. The record is from RNAcentral.